Molecule: long non-coding RNA, 1250 nt
Organism: Cyprinus carpio carpio
Lineage: Eukaryota; Metazoa; Chordata; Actinopteri; Cypriniformes; Cyprinidae
Source: Ensembl
AUAAAUCAAGACAUGUGCUGAAGUGUCGCUUCUCUCACAUUUUUUCCUAGCAUCUUUCACGACAGGCACUUUAAUUCGCUCUUUCUGAACCUUAGUGUGAGGUUUAGCUGGCAGCACAUGCCUUCUUCAGUGAGUCUUUGUGUGUCACAGUUUCGCGUUUCAACUCUCCGGGCCCCGCUGCCCUCCAAAACCGGAGUUCAAAGCACAACGUCAGCCUGAGCUCUGGGAUAUCUCGAUAAGAGCGCGACUAAUAGAAACCACAUUGAACCGGGGCGAUUAUACGGUACGCCGGCUCAAAGAGAAGCGAUGGUUGCGGCAGCUGGCAGCGUCGCGUUUGUGCGACCCUCUACCCAGAUAAGCUCCAGUGUCGGCUCCAGUUCCCGAGUAUAGCCCACGAAGGGCUCCUGCCCCCAGUGAGGACUCCAGAUAUCCCGUUAAGCCCAGGGAGAGCUCCAGAUCGGGAGGGCUCCAGAUCCCCAGUUAAGCCCCUGGAGUGCUCCUGAUCCCGGGGGGAGGGGGCAUGUGGUAGUAAGGCUCCAGCUGUAGAGGCUGGGGUGGGGGCUGGGUCUGUGGCCUCAGAGGCGGCUCGGCCAUAGCUUCCUGAACAGUUUGAUCCACCAUGGCGCCCAGAGCUGCCAGAUCCCCCAUGGUGCCCGAACUGCCAGAUUCGUCAUGGGUCCCGGAACGGGCGCCGCCCUAGAGGCCUUCUGCUCCUAGAGGCCUCCAGAAAGCGCCAACCCACCCCCAAAUCCUCGUUGGAUGUUAUACGGCGCGAGGCGCGCCUUCCGGGAGGGGGGAAGCUCUGCUCCGUGUUUUGUGUGUGUUUUGCUCCCCAUGUGCCUUCCUUGCCCUUAUUUGGUCUUUCCUGUCCUCGUUGUGUGAAUUCAUAUCCAGCUGUGUUUGAUUUAUUAGUUAAUUUGCUCCCAGGUGUGUCCUAUUUGGUGUCUACGUAUUUAAAGUGUUCCCAAUUCCUAGUUCUCUGUUUGCUGUUAAACAUCAUACCUGUUUGUAUCCCUUUGCUUUGUUUAAUUAAAAUUUAAGUUUGUUUAUUCUCCUGGAUCUCCUCGUUCCAUCCCCGAGUGACUGUGACAAAUAAACAAAUAUAAUGUAAGAAAUAAUUUAAAUAGAGCAUUUGAAAACAAAUAUGCAAAUAAACAAUAUGUAAUGUAAGAAAGAAACUAUUUAAAUCGUGCAUUACUUUUUCAUCUUGCAUCUAAAAAUCAUUUAGUGUAUUAUGAAUAAACUGAUUA